UGGGGGAUAUUGGACAAUGGGGGCAACCCUGAUCCAGCGACGCCGCGUGAGUGAAGAAGUAUUUCGGUAUGUAAAGCUCUAUCAGCAGGGAAGAUAAUGACAGUACCUGACCAAGAAGCACCGGCUAAAUACGUGCCAGCAGCCGCGGUAAUACGUAUGGUGCAAGCGUUAGCCGGAUUUACUGGGUGUAAAGGGAGCGUAGGCGGUCUGCCAAGUCUGAUGUGAAAACCCGGGGCUCAACCCCGGGAGUGCAUUGGAAACUGGCGGACUGGAGUGUCGGAGAGGUAAGCGGAAUUCCUAGUGUAGCGGUGAAAUGCGUAGAUAUUAGGAGGAACACCAGUGGCGAAGGCGGCUUACUGGACGAUAACUGACGCUGAGGCUCGAAAGCGUGGGGAGCAAACAGG
Molecule: ribosomal RNA, 404 nt
Filed under: uncultured bacterium
Lineage: Bacteria
Description: bacterial SSU rRNA
Rfam family: Bacterial small subunit ribosomal RNA
Source: RNAcentral